This 253-nucleotide ribosomal RNA is filed under the name uncultured bacterium. Its description in RNAcentral is "partial 16S ribosomal RNA". It matches the Rfam family "Bacterial small subunit ribosomal RNA", at positions 524 to 776 of the family's 1533-position model. The record is from RNAcentral.
UACGUAGGUGACAAGCGUUGUCCGGAUUUACUGGGCGUAAAGAGCGCGCAGGCGGUCGUUCAAGUCGAGUGUGAAAGCCCCCGGCUCAACUGGGGAGGGUCACUCGAUACUGAUCGACUCGAAGGCAGGAGAGGGAAGUGGAAUUCCCGGUGUAGUGGUGAAAUGCGCAGAUAUCAGGAGGAACACCAGCGGCGAAGGCGGCGCUCUGGGCCGGUACUGACGCUGAGGAGCGAAAGCGUGGGGAGCAAACAGG